AGCAGCCGCGGUAAUUCCAGCUCCAAUAGCGUAUAUUAAAGUUGUUGACAGUUAAAAAGCUUGUAGUUGAAUUUCGAGAUCAAAUUGUUGGUCGUGCCUCGGUACGUACUGGCAUUAUUGAUUUCUCCCUUCUGAAGAACCACGAUGUCAUUAAUUUGGUGUCGUGGGGAAUUCAGGACUGUUACUUUGAAAAAAUUAGAGUGUUUAAAGCAGGCUCACGCUUGAAUACAUUAGCAUGGAAUAAUGAAAUAGGACGUUUGAUUCUAUUUUGUUGGUUUCUAGGAUCGACGUAAUGAUUAAUAGGGAUAGUUGGGGGCAUUAGUAUUCAAUUGUCAGAGGUGAAAUUCUUGGAUUUAUUGAAGACUAACUACUGCGAAAGCAUUUGCCAAGGUAUGUUUUUCAUUAAUCAAGAACGGAAAGUUAGGGGGAUCGAAGACGAUCAGAUACCGUCGUAGUCUUAACCAUAAACUAUGCCGACUAGGAGUCGGAUGAUGUUAAUUUUUUAAUGUACUCAUUCGGC
Molecule: ribosomal RNA, 520 nt
Filed under: uncultured Glomus
Lineage: Eukaryota; Fungi; Glomeromycota; Glomeromycetes; Glomerales; Glomeraceae
Description: SSU rRNA
Rfam family: Eukaryotic small subunit ribosomal RNA
Source: RNAcentral